Molecule: unclassified non-coding RNA, 217 nt
Filed under: soil metagenome
Description: partial contains small subunit ribosomal RNA, internal transcribed spacer 1, and 5.8S ribosomal RNA
Source: RNAcentral
UCUCCGUUGGUGAACCAGCGGAGGGAUCAUUACCGAGUUUACAACUCCCAAACCCAUGUGAACAUACCUACUGUUGCUUCGGCGGGAUUGCCCCGGGCGCCUCGUGUGCCCCGGAUCAGGCGCCCGCCAGAGGACCCCUAAACUCUGUUUCUAUAUGUAACUUCUGAGUAAAACCAUAAAUAAAUCAAAACUUUCAACAACGGAUCUCUUGGUUCUG